GAUCCUGGCUCAGGACGAACGCUGGCGGCGUGCUUAACACAUGCAAGUCGAACGAGAAUCUGUGGAUCGAGGAUUCGUCCAAGUGAAGCAGAGGACAGUGGCGGACGGGUGAGUAACGCGUGAGGAACCUGCCUUUCAGAGGGGGACGAACAGUUGGAAACGACUGCUAAUACCGCAUGAUACGUAUUGGGGGCGAUCCCCGAGACGUCAAAGAUUUAUCGCUGAAAGAUGGCCUCGCGU
RNAcentral lists this ribosomal RNA (240 nucleotides) under uncultured bacterium. RNAcentral's name for it is "partial 16S ribosomal RNA". It matches the Rfam family "Bacterial small subunit ribosomal RNA", at positions 15 to 236 of the family's 1533-position model. The record is from RNAcentral.